RNAcentral lists this ribosomal RNA (434 nucleotides) under uncultured Blautia sp. RNAcentral describes it as "partial 16S ribosomal RNA". It matches the Rfam family "Bacterial small subunit ribosomal RNA", at positions 341 to 792 of the family's 1533-position model. The record is from RNAcentral. Lineage: Bacteria; Bacillati; Bacillota; Clostridia; Lachnospirales; Lachnospiraceae.
ACGGGAGGCAGCAGUGGGGAAUAUUGCACAAUGGGGGAAACCCUGAUGCAGCGACGCCGCGUGAAGGAAGAAGUAUUUCGGUAUGUAAACUUCUAUCAGCAGGGAAGAUAAUGACGGUACCUGACUAAGAAGCCCCGGCUAACUACGUGCCAGCAGCCGCGGUAAUACGUAGGGGGCAAGCGUUAUCCGGAUUUACUGGGUGUAAAGGGAGCGUAGACGGAUCGGCAAGUCUGAUGUGAAAGGCUGGGGCUCAACCCCGGGACUGCAUUGGAAACUGUCGGUCUUGAGUGCCGGAGGGGUAAGCGGAAUUCCUAGUGUAGCGGUGAAAUGCGUAGAUAUUAGGAGGAACACCAGUGGCGAAGGCGGCUUACUGGACUGUAACUGACGUUGAGGCUCGAAAGCGUGGGGAGCAAACAGGAUUAGAUACCCUGGUA